AGUGAACGCUGGCGGUAGGCCUAACACGUGCAAGUCGAACGGCAGCACAGUAAGAGCUUGCUCUUACGGGUGGCGAGUGGCGGACGGGUGAGGAAUACAUCGGAAUCUACUUUUUCGUGGGGGAUAACGUAGGGAAACUUACGCUAAUACCGCAUACGACCUACGGGUGAAAGCAGGGGAUCUUCGGACCUUGCGCGAUUGAAUGAGCCGAUGUCGGAUUAGCUAGUUGGCGGGGUAAAGGCCCACCAAGGCGACGAUCCGUAGCUGGUCUGAGAGGAUGAUCAGCCACACUGGAACUAAGACACGGUCCAGACUCCUACGGGAGGCAGCAGUGGGGAAUAUUGGACAAUGGGCGCAAGCCUGAUCCAGCCAUACCGCGUGGGUGAAGAAGGCCUUCGGGUUGUAAAGCCCUUUUGUUGGGAAAGAAAAGCAGCAGGUUAAUACCCCGCUGUUCUGACGGUACCCAAAGAAUAAGCACCGGCUAACUUCGUG
RNAcentral lists this ribosomal RNA (492 nucleotides) under uncultured bacterium. Its description in RNAcentral is "partial 16S ribosomal RNA". It matches the Rfam family "Bacterial small subunit ribosomal RNA", at positions 29 to 507 of the family's 1533-position model. The record is from RNAcentral.